Molecule: long non-coding RNA, 703 nt
Organism: Pongo pygmaeus (Bornean orangutan)
Lineage: Eukaryota; Metazoa; Chordata; Mammalia; Primates; Hominidae
Exons: 3
Source: RefSeq, a predicted model, not a curated record
ACCGGACACGGAGAGCAGCGCCCCGGAGCCGAGCCCGAGCCCUGGAAAGGAAACUUGGGUGGGCCUACAUGUUGCCCUGAACGCCGUAAGUGGAAGCAGAGGGUGACUAGACACCAACAUGGCACGGUGUGGCACUGAAGCUGCUGGCUCUGACGAUGAGGAGGGAGGCUGCAGGAGGAGGGUUCUCUCCCUGGCCUCUUGGCAGAGCGCGGCCAGGCCAACACCUGGAUCUCAGCCCUGGGAAAGCAACUGGACUUCUGACCUCCAGAACUCACAACUGAUUGGAAACAACUGAUUGGAAACUGAUUGGAAGCAGUCUCCCCAAGUGCUCUGACUCCCAGUCCCUGUCAUUUAAGACAGAGAAUGCACAGAUGAAGAGCACAGUCUUCGGAACCAGGCUGUCUGGGAUCAAACCCUGGCUCCACUGCCCAAUAGCUGUGUGACUUUGGACAAAUUACCCACUUUCUCUGGGCCUCCAUUUUCUCAUUCGUAAAAUGGGGCAGUGAGGGAACUUAUAUUGUAGGGUUGGGGCGUAAAGCUCACUGCACACAUCGGGCAUGCCCUGCACACCUCCUGUUCUCACCGCCGUGUUCUGCAGACGGGACAGCCUCGGCCCCGACUGUACUGCUCUUCUGCACCUGUGUUUUCUGAGCCAUCAAAAGCAUCUCGAUGCUGGCCGGGUGCAGUGGCUCACGCCUGUAAU